GUGUGCUGUGAAGUAUCCUGGGCUUCAGGGAUUGUGAAGUUCAGAAGAAGGUGGUGUUUCUGGGAGCCAGUGUAGGAUUACUGAAGCACCACUGCUUUCCAGACAGUCCCAGACAGCUCAUUAAACAGAACUGGUUACAAGAUUCCACUCAACCAUAAAGAGGCCAGGAACGGGAAGCACUCAGAGACCAUCUUCACCGGCUAUGGCUCACAGCAGCAGGGCUGGCACUGCAACAAAAGUUUCUAGCCAGAAAGAAUGCUUGAGUCCCUUGGAUUCUCUCUGGGAGCAUAAGAAGAAUUGCGCAAUUUCAAGGGGUCAUGCCAGACUGGACAAACAUGUUUGUUCCUUAGGGGAGAAGCCUGUGAUUUAGUGAGGCUCCCAGUGCCUUGGGCCUAAGGGCAGAAAGACAAAUUCCAGACUCACUGGCUGGGGAAGAGCUGCAGCUGGUCUGAACUGGGUGUACACAGCCUGGGUGUACCUUGGGGAUGGAGCAGAGCUGAGUCUUCAGGUGAAAGACCUUCAGUACCUGAGCUUAGCAGAGCUGAAAAGGAGGGCUGGCUGUUUCAUCACUUACAGAUGGCUUUUCAAGACAGACCUACAUUACUGGCAGCCUUGGAUCUCUCUCAACACCACUCAUUGGGCAUCUAGAAUGAGAUUUCUGGGCAUUUGAAAUCUCUUUCUACGUAUAUUCCCUUUCUCAGUGACUUGCACCUGGCCCCUUGAUGCCCUGACAAGAACUAUUCCGGCACUCUUGACCUAGUAAGAACCCAUUAAUCACUGUUUGUUAUGGAUGGAACAUAGAACUUCUAUCCACAGAAACUGGAUAUAAAGUUGUCCAACCUGACUGGAAACAAUGCUUCUUGAAACUUUAUGAUGUAAAAUUGGAUUGAUUGAGGAGAAAAACUGCUAUCUGUUGCAAUUCUAUUUUAUAUCAGGCACUGCGCCAGGCGGGGCUUCCCAAGUGGCACUUCCCACGUGCCGAUGCAGGAGACGUGAGAUGGGGAUUCUAUCCCUGGGUCUGAAAGAUCUCCUGGAGGAGGAUACAGCAACCCACUCCAGUAUUCUUGCCUGGAGAAUCCCAUGGACAGAGAAACCUGGUGGCCUAUAAUCCAUAGGGUCACAAAGAUUCAGACAUGACCGAAGCAAUUUAACAUUCACACACAUGCUGGGCCAGGUACUUCAAAACAUCAUCCCAUUUACUUCUCACAUUAGUCAUGAGGCAGGUUUUCUUUUCUUUCACUUUAUAAAUAAGGACCAGAGACUCACAGGUUAAUUAGCUUGCAUGAGUUUAUACACUGUGUGGAUCAGUAAGCAAUGAAGCUGUGUUCUGAAGGCAGGACUCCAUAGCUCAAGGCGUUAUCACUUCACCACUCUGCAGACAAUAGAAAUAACACAGUACUUUGACCAACCAAUGAGCAUCACAAGGGGCCUCCUAGAUAUUAUUUAUACAUCUGCUAAAGAGGGGAACCACAGAGGAGAGAGCAAUUAGCUAACUAGUGAAUCAUCCUCUGUUGCACAAAUAAGCUAAUUGAAUUUACUUAGGAAGAAACAAGGCCCCCCUGUUUCUGCUAUCCAGUCUUGGGCCAGUUAAUUUACCUCUUGGAGCCCUGGUUUCUGUAUCUAUAAAAUGUGAUCUCCCCCUUUGUCAGGGAUUCCCUUACCAAUCCAUUUAUAAGGAUUAGCUGAGAUUAUAUAUGUUCAAUCAAUACGGAUACUGAAAAGAAAUAUUCAAAUGGAAGACAUCAUUAUUGACUUUGCCCACCAGACAUUAUAAGUAAAAUAUUUUCCACUUCAUGUGUUAAAAUUGUACAGGAGGGAGCCAGGCUAACCCUAGAUUUUAACAAGAAAACAUUUCUAAUCAAGACAUCAGACAUAACUUAAGCAAACAAAAUUAGGUCUUUAGAACAAUUUAUUCUAAUAUGUAAUUUUAAAUGAUUUUCUGUAUAGAAUAGAAAUGGAUCGUAAGAUUAAUGAGUGAGCUAAUCACAAGUUAGGAAACCUGAAUUUAUUAGCAGUAGUCUUUAAGUUACUUUUGCUUUAUAAAUUUUAUAUAAUUGCCAAAUAUUUAGAAGUACAGGCAGAAACAUCCUUUUAAAAAUGUACUGCUUUUUAAGUUCUUUCUAUGAAAACUAGGAAAGGAAAAAAACAAUUUUUUAUAUGCAAGACUUCCUGCUAUUAACCGUCAAUAACACUUAAGUGUAUUUUUGGAGACAUGAAACAGCACAAAGAUGCUUCUGUAAUUCAUUAGAAGGCCCUUCUUAAGUAUAAUUAUAUUACACAGCUCUGCUUGGUCAUUAGUUUCUUGUUUAGCAACAAUGUCCUUCAUUUUAAAUCCUUUGAUGGUAAUCAUUUGUAACUAUGCCCUUGAAUUCUGAAAGCAUGUGUACCACAGCCCUGAUGAACAAUGGGUAUUUCUGGACAAUGACGUAACUGGUUUCCCAUAAGAGAUCAUACAGAAAUGGCCUGUAAGAACACUAACAAUUUGCAGAAGGCUUCUGAGCUUGGAGUACAGCCCCAAAUGUGGUGUGUGCUUAUGCAUGUACAUGUGUGCGCUUGUGCAAUAAAAAACUAAAACCAAGUCGUUAGAUACAAGGCAUGAUUUUCUUAAUGGCUUAAUAACCAUGUCACAUUUUAAAGUUUUUGAUGCUGCUUAAAUUAAGGUGUGUUAACACAUAUCAAGGAGAAGGCAAUGGCACCGCACUCCAGUACUCUUGCCUGGAAAAUCCCAUGGACGGAGGAACCUGGUAGGCUGAGGGCCAUGGGGUCGCUAAGAGUUGGACACGUCUGAGCGGUUUUACUUUCACUUUUCACUUUCAUGCAUUGGAGAAGGAAAUGGCAACCCACUCCAGUGUUCUUGCCUGGAGAAUCCCAGGGAUGGUGGAGCCUGAUGGGCUGCCGUCUAUGGGGGUCGCACAGAGUCGGACACGACUGAAGUGACUUAGCAACACAUAUCAUAGAUUGACCUGAGAGUGAGACAUUUUGGAGAUAUUUUUAGUUUUACCCGUCUUCUUUGUGCAGAAAAAUGUCUCAUGUUUGUGUAUUUACUUACAUAUACAUAUAUUGAGCACCCAUAUGCAUUGGGAACUAUUUAGGUGCAUAGAACCCAGAUCUUGGUUUCCACAAGAGCAACCAGG
This is a long non-coding RNA of Bos taurus (domestic cattle), 3134 nucleotides long. The record is from Ensembl. NCBI's taxonomy places the organism in Eukaryota, Metazoa, Chordata, Mammalia, Artiodactyla, Bovidae.